This 435-nucleotide ribosomal RNA is filed under the name uncultured bacterium. RNAcentral describes it as "partial 16S ribosomal RNA". It matches the Rfam family "Bacterial small subunit ribosomal RNA", at positions 28 to 507 of the family's 1533-position model. The record is from RNAcentral.
GAUGAACGCUGGCGGUAUGCUUAACACAUGCAAGUCGAACGGACUCUUCGGAGUUAGUGGCGGACGGGUGAGUAACGCGUGAGAAUCUGGCUUUGGGUUCGGGACAACCACUGGAAACGGUGGCUAAUACCGGAUGUGCCGAGAGGUAAAAGAGAAAUUGCCUGAAGAUGAGCUCGCGUCUGAUUAGCUAGUUGGUGAGGUAAGGGCUCACCAAGGCAGCGAUCAGUAGCUGGUCUGAGAGGAUGACCAGCCACACUGGGACUGAGACACGGCCCAGACUCCUACGGGAGGAAGCAGUGGGGAAUUUUCCGCAAAGGGCGAAAGACUGACGGAGCAAUACCGCGUGAGGGAAGAAGGCUCUUGGGUUGUAAACCUCUUUUCUUAGGGAAGAACAAAAUGACGGUACCUAAGGAAUCAGCAUCGGCUAACUCCGUG